GUGGGGAAUAUUGGACAAUGGGCGAAAGCCUGAUCCAGCCAUGCCGCGUGUGUGAAGAAGGUCUUCGGAUUGUAAAGCACUUUAAGUUGGGAGGAAGGGCAGUAAGUUAAUACCUUGCUGUUUUGACGUUACCGACAGAAUAAGCACCGGCUAACUUCGUGCCAGCAGCCGCGGUAAUACGAAGGGUGCAAGCGUUAAUCGGAAUUACUGGGCGUAAAGCGCGCGUAGGUGGUUUUGUAAGUUGGAGGUGAAAGCCCCGGGCUCAACCUGGGAACUACCUCCAAAACUGCAUGACUAGAGUACGGUAGAGGGUAGUGGAAGUUCCUGUGUAGCGGUGAAAUGCGUAGAUAUAAGAAGGAACACCAGUGGCGAAGGCGACUACCUGGACUGAUACUGACACUGAGGUGCGAAAGCGUGGGGAGCAAACAGGAUUAGAAACCCUUGUAGUCC
RNAcentral lists this ribosomal RNA (450 nucleotides) under uncultured bacterium. RNAcentral describes it as "partial 16S ribosomal RNA". It matches the Rfam family "Bacterial small subunit ribosomal RNA", at positions 354 to 796 of the family's 1533-position model. The record is from RNAcentral.